This 588-nucleotide ribosomal RNA is filed under the name uncultured cyanobacterium. RNAcentral describes it as "bacterial SSU rRNA". It matches the Rfam family "Bacterial small subunit ribosomal RNA", at positions 836 to 1425 of the family's 1533-position model. Lineage: Bacteria; Bacillati; Cyanobacteriota. The record is from RNAcentral.
CCGGGCAGUGCCGUAGCUAACGCGUUAAGUGUCCCGCCUGGGGAGUACGCACGCAAGUGUGAAACUCAGAGGAAUUGACGGGGGCCCGCACAAGCGGUGGAGUAUGUGGUUUAAUUCGAUGCAACGCGAAGAACCUUACCAGGGCUUGACAUGUCGCGAAUCCCCUUGAAAGGGGGGAGUGCCUUCGGGAGCGCGAGCACAGGUGGUGCAUGGCUGUCGUCAGCUCGUGUCGUGAGAUGUUGGGUUAAGUCCCGCAACGAGCGCAACCCACGUUUCUAGUUGCCAGCAUUCAGUUGGGCACUUUAGAGAGACUGCCGGUGACAAACCGGAGGAAGGUGUGGAUGACGUCAAGUCAGCAUGCCCCUUACGUCCUGGGCUACACACGUACUACAAUGCUUCGGACAGAGGGUUGCCAGCCCGCGAGGGUGCGCUAAUCCCGUAAACCGAGGCUCAGUUCAGAUUGCAGGCUGCAACUCGCCUGCAUGAAGGCGGAAUCGCUAGUAAUCGCCGGUCAGCAUACGGCGGUGAAUACGUUCCCGGGCCUUGUACACACCGCCCGUCACACCAUGGGAGUUGGCCACGCCCGAA